GGACCAGCUGACUGACUAAUACUUAACCUUGGUUCAUUAUCUAGUUUGGUGAGAGAUCAUCUCUAAGAUAGUUGUUGUUGUUUUGAACCAUUUUUAUUUUUUUAAUUAUUCCUUUUAUCAAGUCAGUCUUUUUUUUAGGAUUUUCUAGCAUAUCUAUAAGUUAUAAUGGCUUUUGCUGUGGGGUUUUUACUAUUGUAAAAUUUUAGUGUAGUCUCUGUAGUAUCUUAAUCAUUGCUUAAGCAAAUUAUUCUUAUACCCCUCUUUCCUCCUUCUCAGAUUGUUAAUUUUGAAAGACAAUGUGCUAACCAUGAUGACAUUUUCCCUGCAUUGUAGAGCUGCUGUCAGUCAGGCCGUUUGUCAAUCAUGGCAAGAGUUCCUCCUGCUGUUGCUCUUGCUGAACCUGUGCUUACAGCACACACAUAGGCUCACAUUUCGGCACCGUGCACUCAAGCAGUUGCUGACCUCUGCUGCCCACAGGUACUGUGCUGGCCAUGAGUGUGUGAAACAUCAGGCUAUAAUGAAAUCAGCGUCCGGUAGAUAGCAACCUACUUCCUUGUUUGCCUGCAACCUCCCCUGGACAUUAAGUUGCCCUGGGGUUGACGACCUGGCCUGGGGUUGACAACCUGGCCAACCCUUCCCAUUGUCCCUGCAACCUGCACUGUAAUGAUUAAAACAGCUUGCUCGGGUGUGGGGGGGGGCGUGUACUCAGUGGUAAGACAAACUGGUGACCCAUUAUAUGCAUUCUAAAUAAUUCAGAAG
Molecule: long non-coding RNA, 759 nt
Filed under: Chinchilla lanigera (long-tailed chinchilla)
Lineage: Eukaryota; Metazoa; Chordata; Mammalia; Rodentia; Chinchillidae
Description: lncRNA (ENSCLAG00000025669.1)
Source: RNAcentral